GACGAACGCUGGCGGCGUGCCUAAUACAUGCAAGUUGAGCGCUGAAGGUUGGUACUUGUACCAACUGGAUGAGCAGCGAACGGGUGAGUAACGCGUGGGGAAUCUGCCUUUGAGCGGGGGACAACAUUUGGAAACGAAUGCUAAUACCGCAUAAAAACUUUAAACACAAGUUUUAAGUUUGAAAGAUGCAAUUGCAUCACUCAAAGAUGAUCCCGCGUUGUAUUAGCUAGUUGGUGAGGUAAAGGCUCACCAAGGCGAUGAUACAUAGCCGACCUGAGAGGGUGAUCGGCCACAUUGGGACUGAGACACGGCCCAAACUCCUACGGGAGGCAGCAGUAGGGAAUCUUCGGCAAUGGACGAAAGUCUGACCGAGCAACGCCGCGUGAGUGAAGAAGGUGUUCGGAUCGUAAAACUCUGUUGGUAGAGAAGAACGUUGGUGAGAGUGGAAAGCUCAUCAAGUGACGGUAACUACCCAGAAAGGGACGGCUAACUACGUG
RNAcentral lists this ribosomal RNA (497 nucleotides) under uncultured bacterium. Its description in RNAcentral is "partial 16S ribosomal RNA". It matches the Rfam family "Bacterial small subunit ribosomal RNA", at positions 28 to 507 of the family's 1533-position model. The record is from RNAcentral.